This 1345-nucleotide ribosomal RNA is filed under the name metagenome. RNAcentral's name for it is "bacterial LSU rRNA". It matches the Rfam family "Bacterial large subunit ribosomal RNA", at positions 1564 to 2925 of the family's 2925-position model. The record is from RNAcentral.
UGAGUACGAGCUGCUACGGCAGCGAAGUGGGUGAUGUCAAGCUUCCAAGAAAAGCCCUAUACCCGUUAAGGCAUGACGGCCUGUACCCGAAACCGACACAGGUGGGGUGGUAGAGAAUACCGAGGGGCGCGAGAUAACUCUCUCUAAGGAACUCGGCAAAAUGGCCCCGUAACUUCGGGAGAAGGGGUGCCACCGCAAGGUGGUCGCAGUGAAGAGGCCCAGGCGACUGUUUACCAAAAACACAGGUCUCCGCUAAGUCGCAAGACGAUGUAUGGGGCUGACGCCUGCCCAGUGCCGGAAGGUUAAGGAAGCUGGUCAGCGCAAGCGAAGCUAGCGACUGAAGCCCCGGUGAACGGCGGCCGUAACUAUAACGGUCCUAAGGUAGCGAAAUUCCUUGUCGGGUAAGUUCCGACCCGCACGAAAGGCGUAACGAUCCGGGCGCUGUCUCGGAGAGAGGCUCGGCGAAAUAGAAUUGUCUGUGAAGAUGCGGACUACGUGCACCCGGACAGAAAGACCCUAUGAAGCUUUACUGUAGCUUGGUAUUGUGCCCGGGCUCUGAAUGCGCAGGAUAGGUGGGAGGCUUUGAUCCAUUGCUUGUGGGUAAUGGUGAGCCAACGGUGAGAUACCACUCUUUCAGAGCUAGGGUUCUAACCCUCACCCGUUAUCCGGGGAGGGGACAGUAUCAGGUGGGCAGUUUGACUGGGGCUCGCCUCCUAAAAGGUAACGGAGGCGCGCAAAGGUUUGCUCAGGCUGGUUGGAAAUCAGCCGACGAGUGUAAAAGCAGAAGCAAGCUUGACUGUGAGACCAACAAGUCGAACAGGGACGAAAGUCGGCUUUAGUGAUCCGACGGUUCUGAGUGGAAGGGCCGUCGCUCAACGGAUAAAAGUUACUCUAGGAUAACAGGCUGAUCUCCCCCAAGAGUUCACAUCGACGGGGAGGUUUGGCACCUCGAUGUCGGCUCAUCGCAACCUGGGGCUGAAGUCGGUCCCAAGGGUUGGGCUGUUCGCCCAUUAAAGCGGUACGCGAGCUGGGUUCAGAACGUCGUGAGACAGUUCGGUCCAUAUCCGGUGCAUGCGUAAGAACAUUGACAGGGGUUCUCCCUAGUACGAGAGGACCGGGAGGAACGCACCUCUGGUGUACCAGUUAUCGUGCCAACGGUAAACGCUGGGUAGCCAUGUGCGGAGAGGAUAACCGCUGAAAGCAUCUAAGUGGGAAGCCCACCUGAAGAUGAGUGUUCUCAUGGCUUAAGCCAGUAAGGUCACGGGAAGAACACCCGUUGAUAGGCUCUACGUGGAAGCGCAGCAAUGCGUGGAGCGGAGGAGUACUAAUAGACCGAGGGCUUGAC